This 993-nucleotide ribosomal RNA is filed under the name Triticum aestivum (bread wheat). RNAcentral describes it as "partial small subunit ribosomal RNA". Lineage: Eukaryota; Viridiplantae; Streptophyta; Magnoliopsida; Poales; Poaceae. The record is from RNAcentral.
AUGGACUGGAAACCUACGGUGAUGAUGAUAGCGGUGGUGAUCAUGUAUGCGGUGUUGAAUGUGCUCACGAAGAUGGCUUUCAAUGAAGGGAUGCACACCACUGUCUUCAUCGUCCUCCGCCUGCUCGUCGCCGCGCUCUUCCUCUCCCCGAUCGCAUACUUCAAAGAGAGGAAGAGUAGACCUAAGCUGACCAUGGAGAUAUUCGUCUACCUCUUCUUCAGUGCCUUGCUCGGAGCCUCUCUGAUCCAGUGGCUCUUCUUCCUUGGCCUGCGGUACACGACCGCCACGUUCGCGAGCGCCUUCAACAACACGACCCCCAUGUUCACUUUCCUCCUCGCACUCGCCUUCAAGGUUGAGAAGAUCGAUGUUGCCAGCCGCUCCGGCGCAGCGAAGCUCACCGGCACGGCCGUGGGGCUGGCCGGAGCGGCGGUGCUGGCACUCUACCAUGGCCCGACCCUGAUGGGAGCGCCGUCGGGGGACCACAUGGACUCCACAGCCACCCACGGCGGUGCGCGGAGGUGGGCGGUGGGCUCGGUGGCGCUGCUGGGCUUCUCGGCGAGCUGGUCGUUGUGGUUCAUCCUACAGUCCAAGAUCGGGACAAAGUACCCGGCGCUCUACUCCGGCACAGCGUGGAUGUUCGUGCUCAGCUUCAUCCAGAUGGCCACAGUCGGGGCUGCCACCGAGAAGAUGAACUUGCAGAUCUGGGUCCCACGCACGGCGCUCCAGGCUGUGACCGUGGUAUUUGCUGGCGUGGGGUCGUCCGGGCUGGGGUUCCUGGUCAUGUCAUGGUGUGUGGAGCGGCGAGGGCCUGUGUUCACCACCGCCUUCAUGCCGCUAAUCCAGAUCGUCACGGCCGGGCUCGAUGUCACCGUCCUCCAUGAGCAGCUCCACCUCGGGAGCGUUGUCGGGUCGGCGGUCGUGGUCGUGGGGCUCUACUUGGUCCUGUGGGGAAAGAGCAACGAGGCGAGCAUCGGAUCCAAACUCCCUGCGUGA